UUGACUGAGUGGCGGACGGGUGAGUAACGCGUGGGUAACCUGCCUCAUACAGGGGGAUAACAGUUAGAAAUGACUGCUAAUACCGCAUAAGACCACAGUACCGCAUGGUACAGGGGUAAAAACUCCGGUGGUAUGAGAUGGACCCGCGUCUGAUUAGGUAGUUGGUGGGGUAACGGCCUACCAAGCCGACGAUCAGUAGCCGACCUGAGAGGGUGACCGGCCACAUUGGGACUGAGACACGGCCCAA
RNAcentral lists this ribosomal RNA (247 nucleotides) under uncultured bacterium. Its description in RNAcentral is "partial 16S ribosomal RNA". It matches the Rfam family "Bacterial small subunit ribosomal RNA", at positions 87 to 334 of the family's 1533-position model. The record is from RNAcentral.